UACGAAGGGGGCUAGCGUUGCUCGGAAUCACUGGGCGUAAAGGGUGCGUAGGCGGGUCUUUAAGUCCGGGGUGAAAUCCUGGAGCUCAACUCCAGAACUGCCUUUGAUACUGAAGAUCUUGAGUUCGGGAGAGGCGAGUGGAACUGCGAGUGUAGAGGUGAAAUUCGUAGAUAUUCGCAAGAACACCAGUGGCGAAGGCGGCUCACUGGCCCGAUACUGACGCUGAGGCACGAAAGCGUGGGGAGCAAACAGG
RNAcentral lists this ribosomal RNA (253 nucleotides) under uncultured bacterium. RNAcentral describes it as "partial 16S ribosomal RNA". It matches the Rfam family "Bacterial small subunit ribosomal RNA", at positions 524 to 776 of the family's 1533-position model. The record is from RNAcentral.